RNAcentral lists this transfer RNA (65 nucleotides) under Anomopsocus amabilis. RNAcentral describes it as "tRNA-Ile". The record is from RNAcentral. Lineage: Eukaryota; Metazoa; Arthropoda; Insecta; Psocodea; Lachesillidae.
UACAUUAUAGUGUAUAAGCACUAAAGAUUUUGAUUCUUUAAGAAUAUUUUAUUUAUUUAAUGUAA